AUUAUUUUGGCUUUUACAUCAAUUAGUUUAUUUCCUAAGAUCCAGAAUGAUUGAGAACAUAACACAAAAUGAUAUUGUUAGUAAGCAUGUUGGUCAGUUUAUGGCAUUCUUAUACCAGGACAUUAGAAUUACUUUUGAUUGCAAGACUUGCAAAGAUAACUUUGAAUCUGUGAAAAUAAGAAUUGAAGUUCUGCAUUGUAAAGUAGUAACCCACUUUAUAGCAAAUUUGAUGGCUGACAGUUCUGCUUGAAAAAUUUAGUAUAAUUCAAGGACCCUAUAACUCAAAAUGUGUGUCUUGUUUAUAUCAUUUAAUGUCAAUGCAGACAUUGACUCCAGUACUAUAAUGAGACUUUGAGCUGAUCAUAAUAAAUUAUCAUAUUAAACAAGCAUUCAUAAGGGUAUGUAUAAUCAAGUAUAAUUCUUAUGUUUCUGUUCUCAAUAUUGAGAUAAUUUUAGAAGCAUUUCAGUUUAGUUGGAUACAUACAUAUACAGUGGUACUUCACAAUUCAACAGUUGAAUUUUGCAGAAAGGUGCAUGUGCAUGCAUGGAAUUGUGUGAUGUUAUUUGUUAUUUACAUGAUUAUUUGUCAGUUCUUGU
This 597-nucleotide long non-coding RNA is filed under the name Androctonus crassicauda. Lineage: Eukaryota; Metazoa; Arthropoda; Arachnida; Scorpiones; Buthidae. The record is from RNAcentral.